UCAAAAUGAGAGCAAAGAGGAAUCACAUUAAUCCAAACAUCUUCCUAUAACCGAUUGGAUGCCCUAUUUUUCCAACCUUUAAUGCCAUCUAAUUCCAUAAGGCAGAAUUUUUCAAGCAAACAUCUUUCCAAAUAGGAGGUAAACCCAAAUUAUUUUUCCUUGUCUCAUGCCCAACUUCCUCUUCAAGUAAUAGGCCCAUGUAAUCUAACACCACCAA
Molecule: long non-coding RNA, 217 nt
Filed under: Elaeis guineensis (African oil palm)
Lineage: Eukaryota; Viridiplantae; Streptophyta; Magnoliopsida; Arecales; Arecaceae
Description: long non-coding RNA (EGUI_LNC047207)
Source: RNAcentral